RNAcentral lists this ribosomal RNA (465 nucleotides) under uncultured organism. RNAcentral's name for it is "bacterial SSU rRNA". It matches the Rfam family "Bacterial small subunit ribosomal RNA", at positions 28 to 507 of the family's 1533-position model. The record is from RNAcentral.
GACGAACGCUGGCGGCGCGCUUAACACAUGCAAGUCGAACGGAGAAAAAGCUUCGGUUUUUUCUUAGUGGCGGACGGGUGAGUAACGCGUGAGGAACCUGCCCUACAGAGGGGGAUAACGACUGGAAACGGCCGCUAAUACCGCAUAACGCAGCGAAGAGACAUCUCUUUGCUGCCAAAGGAGAAAUCCGCUGAAGGAUGGCCUCGCGUCCGAUUAGGUAGUUGGUGAGGUAACGGCCCACCAAGCCCGCGAUCGGUAGCCGGACUGAGAGGUCGGCCGGCCACAUUGGGACUGAGACACGGCCCAGACUCCUACGGGAGGCAGCAGUGGGGGAUAUUGCACAAUGGGGGAAACCCUGAUGCAGCGACGCCGCGUGAGGGAAGAAGGUCUUCGGAUUGUAAACCUCUGUCUUCAGGGACGAAAGAAAUGACGGUACCUGAGGAGGAAGCCACGGCUAACUACGUG